ACAGCCCGGCCCCCGCCCCCUCAGGGCGGCGGCGGCGGCCAGGACAGGAGCGAGGUGGCAGGCGGGGACAGCUGUCUGGGGUGGUGGCCGAAUGGGAGAGGGUGAGGUCGGCGGGGCGCUGUCGGCUGCUGUCCCCUCGGCUUUACUAAGCCCGGGCGCCAGCCUCGGCCGCCCGCAGGACGGAGAGCGGCCGCCCGGCCCGGCGAGCCAAGGUUUUGUAACAAUCAAGCAGCACAUGAAAGAGGGCUCUUCAUCAAGCAUUCUUGAUUAAGUCAUGAAAAUGGAAUUGAAGCUUAUUUUCCCCCUUCGUAUGGGGUGUGAUCUUGCACAUGUGACUUAACCUUGCCGUACUUCUGCUUUCCUGCCCCUGUAUAAUGGGAAUGAUAGUGAUACUUCACAGGAUUGCUGUGAGCGUUAAAUAAAAUGAAG
Molecule: long non-coding RNA, 429 nt
Organism: Lemur catta (Ring-tailed lemur)
Lineage: Eukaryota; Metazoa; Chordata; Mammalia; Primates; Lemuridae
Exons: 3
Source: RefSeq, a predicted model, not a curated record